RNAcentral lists this transfer RNA (87 nucleotides) under Candidatus Magasanikbacteria bacterium RIFCSPHIGHO2_02_FULL_48_18. RNAcentral's name for it is "tRNA-Ser". It matches the Rfam family "tRNA". Rfam says of the family: Transfer RNA (tRNA) molecules are approximately 80 nucleotides in length. Their secondary structure includes four short double-helical elements and three loops (D, anti-codon, and T loops). The record is from RNAcentral. RNAcentral also lists the same sequence under 3 other names. Lineage: Bacteria; Candidatus Magasanikiibacteriota.
GGAAGGGUGGCUGAGUGGUUUAAGGCGGCAGUCUUGAAAACUGUUGAGGAUGAAAGUCCUCCGCGAGUUCGAAUCUCGCCCCUUCCG